CCAGACAAUGUAUAAUCAGCCAACAAUAUCAGUUGCUGAAAAGAUUAUGCCACCCCACUACUUUCAGUACUAUAAAACAAACCUCCAAUAGCACAACAAUAUUGCCCACUCAAAAUUGGCAAGUUGAACACAAUUUCUCAUCCAGACAAUUGAAUGGAAAUGGGUAUUGAUGAAGCCAAACAAAAACAGAAGGCUUCUUCUUGAUAGACACCUGAUGCUAAAUUUAAAUAACAUGUAUAAAUAUCUCUGUUUCUCUCUCCCACAAACACGUCCGUGGAUGUUCUUUUCAUAGUGUGGAGAAAAGUGCAUUCAAUGGUCAAAAAGAGGCAUGCCUUGUACAAAUGACUUGCCAUUACUGCACCCCACUCAUCUUUGCCCAAUCUACGAACUGCAUCCCACCAUAUAUAUUGUUGGCAAAUCUUACACCAACAGUGAACGUCAUUGCAACAGGAGGGACUUGCUUUGCCAAAGGUGAUGCUUCAACCAGGCGUUCCAGUCCAUUAAUGAUUUGGUAACGAGUAUUGGAAGAUACAGCAAGAAAAACACCCCAAAGAACAGCACUUUGCACAAGAGGUGGAACUGGAAUAUCCUCUUCUGAUUUCUUUAUGCUCCGUUUGGCAGUCAUGAUCAGAUUAGCAAUGCCUUGGCCAAUGAGUCCACACCCAAACCCAACUGAACCGUAUAAUACCCCCUUAUAGAAGUAUGUAGCAAUGCGCUGCUUCACAGAGAAUUUACAUCCUGGCCUUUCAGCUUCAAAUACGCUGCUGGGAAGAGCCGCACAAGCCUGUUGUAUUUUUCCAAAUACACCUCUUGAAACAGAUGGCUGCCCAAUACGUGCAUAAGGUGCUAACAUACCAACCAAAGCAAUGUCAACCACAAUACCAACCAAAAGGUCAGCUGCAUACAACUCAAACUCUGACCAGAAGUCCUUUCCCCUUUUUUGAACUUCCGCAAAUGUGGCACAACAAGAAUCAAUGACUAUCUCUGUUCCAACUUUGAAAAGAAAAGAAGGAUCAGCCAGCAUUCGGUUGCGCAAGAUAGCACAGUACUUCAUCAAAAAGCUGAGUGGCCAAACCGACCCCUACAAUUCAAAUGCAAUGAAAACAACGGCGAAAAACAAUAAACAAAAAAUUCUCAAAAUCGAAUCUUUGNACCAUAUCUGCUGGAAGUUUCACUCCACGCGUUUCUGCUUCCUUCAUCACUUCCUCGAAUCUCAUUAUCGGCCCAAACUCCUUCUCUUCUUCGUUAUCACCCUCGUCUCCACCUCCACCACCACCGGCUCCACCUCCACCGGCACCACCUCCAGAAUCCCCAUUACUACCACCACCACCUCCAUCAAUCCUCAAGUCCAAAACUCGUUCAUCCUGAACGAAAUUACAAUCCUCUCCCCGCCCCGACGAAUCGGCAAUCGUACUGGCGGCGGACUCGGAGUUAACGCAUUGGAGAAGUGAAACCGAGUGAAUGCAAGCGUUGAUUGGUUGAGGAACAAGAGAAGAUGAAAAGACUGAGUUGAUUGGAAUCGGAGAUUUAACGGCGAGAAAAGUCUGCUUGAUCGGAGCGGUGGCCUCGUUAAAGAAGUUGAAAGGAGGCGGAAUGUUGAAGCUAGGUGAAGAAACUGACAUUCUUGCUAAUUUUCUUUUCCAAAGAGAAAGGAAGAUUUGAAAAAGGUAAAGCUUUUUGAUAAUGGUGGAGGCUAGGUAUAGAUUCUGGAGCGAAAUGAAAUACAGUGACU
RNAcentral lists this unclassified non-coding RNA (1732 nucleotides) under Hevea brasiliensis (rubber tree). The record is from RNAcentral. Lineage: Eukaryota; Viridiplantae; Streptophyta; Magnoliopsida; Malpighiales; Euphorbiaceae.